Molecule: non-coding RNA, 21 nt
Filed under: Caenorhabditis elegans
Lineage: Eukaryota; Metazoa; Nematoda; Chromadorea; Rhabditida; Rhabditidae
Source: RNAcentral
UCUAUGAUUCCAGGUACCGAG